GGCGCAAACUUGAAGUGGAGUUCAUUAGUAUGGUCAGCUGAUCCUGCCAAUCUACUCUACUUCAAAGUUGGGCCC
This 75-nucleotide microRNA precursor is filed under the name Haemonchus placei. RNAcentral describes it as "mir-5928 microRNA precursor family". It matches the Rfam family "mir-5928 microRNA precursor family". The record is from Rfam by way of RNAcentral. Lineage: Eukaryota; Metazoa; Nematoda; Chromadorea; Rhabditida; Trichostrongylidae.